Molecule: ribosomal RNA, 252 nt
Filed under: uncultured bacterium
Lineage: Bacteria
Description: partial 16S ribosomal RNA
Rfam family: Bacterial small subunit ribosomal RNA
Source: RNAcentral
UACGGAGGUGGCAAGCGUUGUUCGGAAUUACUGGGCUUAAAGCGCGUGUAGGCGGGACGGAAAGUGUCGGGUGAAAGCCCUUGGCUCAACCAAGGAACUGCUUGGCAUACUUCCGUUCUUGAGUAGGUAGAGGUCGCUAGAACGACGGGUGGAGCGGUGAAAUGCGUAGAUAUCCGUUGGAACGCCGGUGGCGAAAGCGGGCGACUGGACCUAUCCUGACGCUGAGACGCGAAAGUGUGGGUAGCAAACAGG